CAGCAGCCGCGGUAAUACGAAGGGUGCAAGCGUUAAUCGGAAUUACUGGGCGUAAAGCGUGCGUAGGCGGUGAGUUAAGUCUGCUGUGAAAUCCCCGGGCUCAACCUGGGAAUGGCAGUGGAUACUGGCUCGCUAGAGUGUGUCGGAGGAUGGUGGAAUUCCCGGUGUAGCGGUGAAAUGCGUAGAGAUCGGGAGGAACAUCAGCGGCGAAGGCGGCCAUCUGGGACAACACUGACGCUGAGGCACGAAAGCGUGGGGAGCAAACAGGAUUAGAUACCCCUGUAGUCCCUGUCUCUUAUCC
Molecule: ribosomal RNA, 301 nt
Filed under: uncultured bacterium
Lineage: Bacteria
Description: partial 16S ribosomal RNA
Rfam family: Bacterial small subunit ribosomal RNA
Source: RNAcentral